RNAcentral lists this ribosomal RNA (525 nucleotides) under Leptosphaerulina sp. A SMR-2011. RNAcentral describes it as "eukaryotic LSU rRNA". The stretch from base 171 to 324 matches the Rfam family "5.8S ribosomal RNA". The record is from RNAcentral. Lineage: Eukaryota; Fungi; Ascomycota; Dothideomycetes; Pleosporales; Didymellaceae.
UUCGUAGGUGAACCUGCGGAAGGAUCAUUACCUAGAGUUGUAGGCUUUGCCUGCUAUCUCUUACCCAUGUCUUUUGAGUACUUACGUUUCCUCGGCGGGUCCGCCCGCCGAUUGGACAAUUUAAACCAUUUGCAGUUGCAAUCAGCGUCUGAAAAAACUUUAAUAGUUACAACUUUCAACAACGGAUCUCUUGGUUCUGGCAUCGAUGAAGAACGCAGCGAAAUGCGAUAAGUAGUGUGAAUUGCAGAAUUCAGUGAAUCAUCGAAUCUUUGAACGCACAUUGCGCCCCUUGGUAUUCCAUGGGGCAUGCCUGUUCGAGCGUCAUUUGUACCUUCAAGCUUUGCUUGGUGUUGGGUGUUUGUCUCGCCUCUGCGUGUAGACUCGCCUUAAAACAAUUGGCAGCCGGCGUAUUGAUUUCGGAGCGCAGUACAUCUCGCGCUUUGCACUCAUAACGACGACGUCCAAAAGUACAUUUUUACACUCUUGACCUCGGAUCAGGUAGGGAUACCCGCUGAACUUAAGCAU